GACGAACGCUGGCGGCGUGCUUAACACAUGCAAGUCGAACGGAAAGGCCCUGCUUUUGUGGGGUGCUCGAGUGGCGAACGGGUGAGUAACACGUGAGUAACCUGCCCUUGACUUUGGGAUAACUUCAGGAAACUGGGGCUAAUACCGGAUAGGAGCUCCUGCUGCAUGGUGGGGGUUGGAAAGUUUCGGCGGUUGGGGAUGGACUCGCGGCUUAUCAGCUUGUUGGUGGGGUAGUGGCUUACCAAGGCUUUGACGGGUAGCCGGCCUGAGAGGGUGACCGGCGACAAUAGGACUGAGAGACGGCGCAGACGCGAACGGGAGACAACGGUGGGGAGUAUGACACAGUAAGCGGGAGCCAGAUGCAGCAACGCCGGGUGCGGGAAGACGGCCUUCGAGUUGUGAACCGCUUUAGCCUGAGACGAAGCGUGAGUGACGGUAAUGGGUAAAGAAGCACCGGCUAACUACGUG
Molecule: ribosomal RNA, 468 nt
Filed under: uncultured bacterium
Lineage: Bacteria
Description: partial 16S ribosomal RNA
Rfam family: Bacterial small subunit ribosomal RNA
Source: RNAcentral